GGACCCGACUGCUAUCGGAUUGGGACUAAGCCAUGCGAGUCAACUCCGCAAGGGGUGGCGCACGGCUCAGUAACACGUAGUCAACCUACCCUAGGGACGGGGAUAACCUCGGGAAACUGAGGCUAAACCCCGAUAGGCUAUAGCCUCUGGAAUGAGCUAUAGCUGAAAUCUAUAUGGCCCUAGGAUGGGACUGCGGCCGAUCAGGUAGUUGGUGGGGUAAUGGCCCACCAAGCCUAUAACCGGUGCGGGCUCUGAGAGGAGGAGCCCGGAGAUGGGCACUGAGACAAGGGCCCAGGUCCUACGGGGCGCAGCAGGCGCGAUG
RNAcentral lists this ribosomal RNA (322 nucleotides) under uncultured archaeon. RNAcentral's name for it is "bacterial SSU rRNA". It matches the Rfam family "Archaeal small subunit ribosomal RNA", at positions 19 to 346 of the family's 1478-position model. The record is from RNAcentral.